GUUGGGCGCAGUGGCGCACGCCUGUAAUCCCAGCGGCUUGGGAAGCUGAGGCAGGAGGAUCAUGAGUUCAAAGCCAGCUGAUCAGCAGUUUAGCAAGGCCCUAAGCAACUUAGUGAGACCCUGUCUCUA
This 129-nucleotide small RNA is filed under the name Marmota monax (woodchuck). The record is from RNAcentral. Lineage: Eukaryota; Metazoa; Chordata; Mammalia; Rodentia; Sciuridae.